This 577-nucleotide ribosomal RNA is filed under the name uncultured bacterium. RNAcentral's name for it is "bacterial SSU rRNA". It matches the Rfam family "Bacterial small subunit ribosomal RNA", at positions 337 to 917 of the family's 1533-position model. The record is from RNAcentral.
UCCUACGGGAGGCAGCAGUGAGGAAUAUUGCGCAAUGGGCGAAAGCCUGACGCAGCGACGCCGCGUGGGGGAUGAAGGUCUUCGGAUUGUAAACCCCUUUCGGGAGGGAAGACGGCCUUAGACAACUAAGGCGGACGGUACCUCCAGAAGCAGCCACGGCUAACUUCGUGCCAGCAGCCGCGGUAAUACGAAGGUGGCAAGUGUUGUUCGGAUUUACUGGGCGUAAAGUGAGCGUAGGUGGUUAGGUAAGCCCUCCGGGAAAUCUUCAGGCUUAACCUGAAAAGGUCGGGGGGGACUGCCUGGCUAGAGGACGGGAGAGGAGCGCGGAAUUCCCGGUGUAGCGGUGAAAUGCGUAGAGAUCGGGAGGAAGGCCGGUGGCGAAGGCGGCGCUCUGGAACGUUUCUGACACUGAGGCUCGAAAGCGUGGGGAGCAAACAGGAUUAGAUACCCUGGUAGUCCACGCCCUAAACUAUGGACACUAAGUGCCGGCGGGUUACCGUCGGUGCCGCAGCUAACGCAUUAAGUGUCCCGCCUGGGGAGUACGGCCGCANGGUUGAAACUCAAAGGAAUUGACGGA